Hyla sarda is the source of this 488-nucleotide long non-coding RNA. RefSeq lists it as uncharacterized. The transcript is spliced from 3 exons. Lineage: Eukaryota; Metazoa; Chordata; Amphibia; Anura; Hylidae. The record is from RefSeq and is a predicted model, not a curated record.
GAGAGGACAGGCCAGGGGCUGAUGGGAACAGACGUGCCCCGCGCAGGCACGCGCGUCUGUUCCAAGCCCCUGACGUCACGUGUCAUGGCCUCUGACCCCAGCAGAAGCGACAGGAGCAGCAAACCCUCCUGCCUCACACGGCCGCAUCGCUGAGCAGAUAAGAGGAUGAGGAUCUACUGACAAAUUAAGGAACCAAUGAUGUCCUGGUGUCAGACUCUGCAGAGAAGAUGGAAGAAAUCCUGGUGUCUGGACCAGAUGAAGAAGAAAAGUAAAGACAACAGAGAAGACGUCACUCAGAGCUCUGUCCUGCUGUCGGGUCCUGAAGGAGGGGAUGGAUUCUCCGAGCACACCGCCUGCAGACAUUACACAGCAGACGAAGAGUAGGGGACUGCCUGCAGAGCUGUCUGUGCCCCUGCCUCCACAUGCAACAGAGGUCCUGACCCCCAGCACUGCCAUCCAGGGAUGGGAGAAGCCAUGUGAGGAUCCUG